RNAcentral lists this ribosomal RNA (492 nucleotides) under uncultured bacterium. RNAcentral's name for it is "partial 16S ribosomal RNA". It matches the Rfam family "Bacterial small subunit ribosomal RNA", at positions 29 to 507 of the family's 1533-position model. The record is from RNAcentral.
AGUGAGCGCUGGCGGUAGGCCUAACACAUGCAAGUCGAACGGCAGCACAGUAAGAGCUUGCUCUUACGGGUGGCGAGUGGCGGACGGGUGAGGAAUACAUCGGAAUCUACUUUUUCGUGGGGGAUAACGUAGGGAAACUUACGCUAAUACCGCAUACGACCUACGGGUGAAAGCAGGGGAUCUUCGGACCUUGCGCGAUUGAAUGAGCCGAUGUCGGAUUAGCUAGUUGGCGGGGUAAAGGCCCACCAAGGCGACGAUCCGUAGCUGGCCUGAGAGGAUGAUCAGCCACACUGGAACUGAGACACGGUCCAGACUCCUACGGGAGGCAGCAGUGGGGAAUAUUGGACAAUGGGCGCAAGCCUGAUCCAGCCAUACCGCGUGGGUGAAGAAGGCCUUCGGGUUGUAAAGCCCUUUUGUUGGGAAAGAAAAGCAGCAGGUUAAUACCCCGCUGUUCUGACGGUACCCAAAGAACAAGCACCGGCUAACUUCGUG